RNAcentral lists this long non-coding RNA (205 nucleotides) under Elaeis guineensis (African oil palm). Its description in RNAcentral is "long non-coding RNA (EGUI_LNC070956)". The record is from RNAcentral. Lineage: Eukaryota; Viridiplantae; Streptophyta; Magnoliopsida; Arecales; Arecaceae.
CUUAUUUUUGGACGUGAUCCUGUUGAACUCGAUAAGAACAACAAAGAUCUGAUCACUUAUAUGGAUGCCAUACAGAGGUCUGACUCUGAUUAGUGGCUUAGAGCCAUAAAGUCCGAAAUUAAGUCCAUAAUGAUCAAUGAUGUAUGGACACUCAUUUAUCUACUCGAAAGGAUAAUGUCCAUAGGGUCUAAGUGGGUCUUCAAUA